Molecule: ribosomal RNA, 235 nt
Filed under: uncultured haloarchaeon
Lineage: Archaea; Methanobacteriati; Methanobacteriota; Halobacteria; Halobacteriales; Halobacteriaceae
Description: partial 16S ribosomal RNA
Rfam family: Archaeal small subunit ribosomal RNA
Source: RNAcentral
CUGCCAAAGCGGAGGAAGGAACGGGCAACGGUAGGUCAUUAUGCCCCAAAUGAGCUGGGCUACACGCGGGCUACAAUGGCCGGGACAAUGGGAUGCUACCCCGAGAGGGGACGCUAAUCUCCUAAACCUGGUCGUAUUUCGGAUUGAGGGCUGAAACUCCCCCUCAUGAAGCUGGAUUCGGUAGUAAUCGCGUUUCAGGAGGGCGCGGUGAAUACUUCCCUGCUCCUUGCACAAC